CCCGCCUUUGCAUAGUAGUUAAUGCGCUCGGCUGUAGACCGAGAGAUCCCCGGUGCAAAUCCGGGAGGCGGGA
This 73-nucleotide transfer RNA is filed under the name archaeon. RNAcentral describes it as "tRNA-Tyr". It matches the Rfam family "tRNA". Rfam says of the family: Transfer RNA (tRNA) molecules are approximately 80 nucleotides in length. Their secondary structure includes four short double-helical elements and three loops (D, anti-codon, and T loops). Further hydrogen bonds mediate the characteristic L-shaped molecular structure. tRNAs have two regions of fundamental functional importance: the anti-codon, which is responsible for specific mRNA codon recognition, and the 3' end, to which the tRNAs corresponding amino acid is attached (by aminoacyl-tRNA synthetases). tRNAs cope with the degeneracy of the genetic code in two manners: having more than one tRNA (with a specific anti-codon) for a particular amino acid; and 'wobble' base-pairing, i.e. permitting non-standard base-pairing at the 3rd anti-codon position. The record is from RNAcentral.